This 73-nucleotide transfer RNA is filed under the name Salana multivorans. It matches the Rfam family "tRNA". Rfam says of the family: Transfer RNA (tRNA) molecules are approximately 80 nucleotides in length. Lineage: Bacteria; Bacillati; Actinomycetota; Actinomycetes; Micrococcales; Beutenbergiaceae. The record is from Rfam by way of RNAcentral. RNAcentral also lists the same sequence under 2 other names.
GCACCCGUAGCUCAGUGGAUAGAGCGUCUGCCUCCGGAGCAGAAGGUCGCUGGUUCGAAUCCAGUCGGGUGUA